This 836-nucleotide ribosomal RNA is filed under the name uncultured archaeon. Its description in RNAcentral is "bacterial SSU rRNA". It matches the Rfam family "Archaeal small subunit ribosomal RNA", at positions 53 to 894 of the family's 1478-position model. The record is from RNAcentral.
GCGAGUCGAAUGUAGCAAUACAUGGCGAACUGCUCAGUAACACGUGGACAACCUGCCCUUAGGACGGGGAUAAACCCGGGAAACUGGGUAUAAUACCCGAUAGGUCUCGAUUGCUGGAAUGCAUCGAGAUUUAAAGCUCCGGCGCCUAAGGAUGGGUCUGCGGCCUAUCAGGUAGUAGUGGGUGUAGCGUACCUACUAGCCUACGACGGGUACGGGUUGUGAGAGCAAGAGCCCGGAGAUGGAUUCUGAGACACGAAUCCAGGCCCUACGGGGUGCAGCAGGCGCGAAAACUUUACAAUGCUGGCAACAGCGAUAAGGGAACCUCGAGUGCCAGGUUACAAAUCUGGCUGCCGAGAUGCCUAAAAAGCAUUUCAUAGCAAGGGCCGGGCAAGACCGGUGCCAGCCGCCGCGGUAACACCGGCGGCUCGAGUGGUAACCGUUAUUAUUGGGUCUAAAGGGUCUGUAGCCGGCCGGAUAAGUCUCUUGAGAAAUCUGGCAGCUUAACUGUCAGGCUUUCAGGAGAUACUGUCUGGCUCGAGGCCGGGAGAGGUGAGAGGUACUUCAGGGGUAGGGGUGAAAUCUUGUAAUCCUUGAAGGACCACCAGUGGCGAAGGCGUCUCACCAGAACGGACCUGACGGCAAGGGACGAAAGCUAGGGGCACGAACCGGAUUAGAUACCCGGGUAGUCCUAGCCGUAAACGAUACUCGCUAGGUGUCGGCCACGGUGCGACCGUUGUCGGUGCCGUAGGGAAGCCGUGAAGCGAGCCACCUGGGAAGUACGGCCGCAAGGCUGAAACUUAAAGGAAUUGGCGGGGGAGCACCACAACGGGUGGAGC